GUGGGGGAUAACCAUUGGAAACGAUGGCUAAUACCGCAUAAUACCUUCGGGUCAAAGAGGGGGACCUUCGGGCCUCUCGCGUCAGGAUAUGCCUAGGUGGGAUUAGCUAGUUGGUGAGGUAAUGGCUCACCAAGGCGACGAUCCCUAGCUGGUCUGAGAGGAUGAUCAGCCACACUGGAACUGAGACACGGUCCAGACUCCUACGGGAGGCAGCAGUGGGGAAUAUUGCACAAUGGGCGCAAGCCUGAUGCAGCCAUGCCGCGUGUGUGAAGAAGGCCUUCGGGUUGUAAAGCACUUUCAGUCGUGAGGAAGGUAGUGUAGUUAAUAGCUGCAUUAUUUGACGUUAGCGACAGAAGAAGCACCGGCUAACUCCGUGCCAGCAGCCGCGGUAAUACGGAGGGUGCGAGCGUUAAUCGGAAUUACUGGGCGUAAAGCGCAUGCAGGUGGUUUGUUAAGUCAGAUGUGAAAGCCCGGGGCUCAACCUCGGAAUAGCAUUUGAAACUGGCAGACUAGAGUACUGUAGAGGGGGGUAGAAUUUCAGGUGUAGCGGUGAAAUGCGUAGAGAUCUGAAGGAAUACCGGUGGCGAAGGCGGCCCCCUGGACAGAUA
RNAcentral lists this ribosomal RNA (608 nucleotides) under Vibrio sp. RNAcentral describes it as "bacterial SSU rRNA". It matches the Rfam family "Bacterial small subunit ribosomal RNA", at positions 136 to 739 of the family's 1533-position model. Lineage: Bacteria; Pseudomonadati; Pseudomonadota; Gammaproteobacteria; Vibrionales; Vibrionaceae. The record is from RNAcentral.